ACGGUGCGCCACCCGGACAACACACCAGCUCCCGGUGAGCUGGUCAGGCUGUGUUUUGAGACCCACCGGACGACGACAGACCUCGGAUUCGCCAUGAAGUCUUCUGCCGAUCCGGUCUGUCUGAACGUCACGUCUGACAGCAAAGGUGUGGUCGCGUUCACUGUGCCACCUCAAGAUCAGAAAAUCGAAGACAUAUCGAUUCAGGCCACGAUACCGCGCCUAUCCGAGACCAGGUACCCGUACGGCGGAAGCAGUUGGUCUUCCGCCCGG
This is a long non-coding RNA of Pollicipes pollicipes, 270 nucleotides long. RefSeq lists it as uncharacterized. Lineage: Eukaryota; Metazoa; Arthropoda; Thecostraca; Pollicipedomorpha; Pollicipedidae. The transcript is spliced from 3 exons. The record is from RefSeq and is a predicted model, not a curated record.